AGCUGCAUAUAUCAAAAAGGAAAAACAUGUGAUUUGAAAAGCACUGGAUUAAUUAACCAUUUUGAGAAGAAUCUUUACUUUAUGCCCUUCAACGAAUUCACAUGACUAAGAAUCAGUUAAAUACAGAAGAUAAAAAGAAAAAAAGUCCAACAUUAUCAUACUCUAGUCUGGAAAUGGAUCAUACCAAGAAGAUAUCAUGUUGCAUAUACCAUUUGCAAACCCACCAAAGAAUCCACCGGGGCCAAAACCAGGUCCUCCGGGGCCAAAACCAGGGCCUCCGGGGCCAAAACCAGGGCCUCCAGGGCCAAAACCAGGGCCUCCGGGGCCAAAACCAGGGCCUCCGGGGCCAAAACCAGGUCCUCCAGGGCCAGGGCCCCAACCCCCAGGACCACCUGGUCCACCAGGUCCACCAGGUCCCAUCACAGUGCUCUACCCUGUGGAACUGAAGCAGAUACCACACACACGAAGAGGAAGAGCCAGAAAGAUAUUUCAGAGUCUGGAUCCAAUAUGAUAUUUGUGUAAGGAAGCCUAAGGAUCUAGAAUUUUUCCCCGCAUAUAAAGAAUAAAGUUCAUG
Molecule: long non-coding RNA, 574 nt
Filed under: Vitis vinifera (wine grape)
Lineage: Eukaryota; Viridiplantae; Streptophyta; Magnoliopsida; Vitales; Vitaceae
Description: long non-coding RNA (VVIN_LNC002032)
Source: RNAcentral